GCCUGUUUUUAUCAAAAACAUAACCUUUAGCCAAACAAAUAUUAAAGGCAACGCCUGCCCAGUGAACAAUUAAACGGCCGCGGUACCCUAACCGUGCAAAGGUAGCAUAAUCAUUUGUCUACUAAUUAUAGACCUGUAUGAAUGGCAAAAUGAGGGCUUAACUGUCUCUUAUAGUAAAUCAAUUAAACUGAUCUCCUAGUAAAAAAGCUAGGAUUACCCCAUAAGACCAGAAGACCCUGUGAAGCUUAAACUAAACUAUUAAAUCUAAUAAUAACUACUUUAGGUUGGGGCGACCUUGGAAAAAAGAAUAACUUCCAAAAUCCAAUGACAAAACAGGCCAACAAGCCAAUUAUAAAAGACCCAGCAACGCUGAAAUUGAACCAAGUUACUCCAGGGAUAACAGCGCAAUCUUCUUCAAGAGCCCAUAUCAAAAAGAAGGUUUACGACCUCGAUGUUGGAUCAGGACAUCCUAAUGGUGCAGAAGCUAUUAAGGGUUCGUUUGUUCAACGAUUAACAGUCCUACGUGAUCUG
This 531-nucleotide ribosomal RNA is filed under the name Ahaetulla laudankia (Laudankia vine snake). RNAcentral's name for it is "partial large subunit ribosomal RNA". It matches the Rfam family "Bacterial large subunit ribosomal RNA", at positions 1798 to 2607 of the family's 2925-position model. Lineage: Eukaryota; Metazoa; Chordata; Lepidosauria; Squamata; Colubridae. The record is from RNAcentral.